AAACUAACAAGGAUUCCCCUAGUAACGGCGAGUGAACCGGGAAAAGCUCAAAUUUGAAAUCUGGCUGUCUUCGAUAGUCCGAGUUGUAAUCUAUAGAAGCGUUUUCCGUGCUGAACUGUGUCUAAGUCCCUUGGAACAGGGUAUCAAAGAGGGUGAUAAUCCCGUACUUGACACAACCAUCAGUGCUCUGUGAUACGUUCUCUACGAGUCGAGUUGUUUGGGAAUGCAGCUCAAAAUGGGUGGUAAAUUCCAUCUAAAGCUAAAUAUUGGCGAGAGACCGAUAGCGAACAAGUACCGUGAGGGAAAGAUGAAAAGCACUUUGGAAAGAGAGUUAAACAGUACGUGAAAUUGUUGAAAGGGAAACGAUUGAAGUCAGUCGUGUUCAUUGGAUUCAGCUAGUUCUUCUAGUCUACUUCCUUUGAACGGGUCAACAUCAGUUUUGUCCGGUGGAUAAAGGAUUUAGGAAUGUGACUCCCUCGGGAGUGUUAUAGCCUAGGUUCACAUACACUGGGUGAGACUGAGGACUGCAGCUCGCCUUUUGGCCGGGGUUCGCCCACGUUCGAGCUUAGGAUGUUGACAUAAUGGCUUUAAACGACCC
RNAcentral lists this ribosomal RNA (598 nucleotides) under Apiotrichum montevideense. RNAcentral describes it as "partial large subunit ribosomal RNA". It matches the Rfam family "Eukaryotic large subunit ribosomal RNA", at positions 62 to 650 of the family's 3401-position model. Lineage: Eukaryota; Fungi; Basidiomycota; Tremellomycetes; Trichosporonales; Trichosporonaceae. The record is from RNAcentral.